AACGCACAUUGCGCCCUUUGGUAUUCCAAAGGGCAUGCCUGUUCGAGCGUCAUUUGUACCCUCAAGCUUUGCUUGGUGUUGGGCGUCUUUUUGUCUCUCCCCUUGUUGGGGGAGACUCGCCUUAAAACGAUUGGCAGCCGACCUACUGGUUUUCGGAGCGCAGCACAAAUUUGCGCCUUCCAAUCCACGGGGCGGCAUCCAGCAAGCCUUUGUUUUCUAUAACAAAUCCACAUUUUGACCUCGGAUCAGGUAGGGAUACCCGCUGAACUUAA
This 272-nucleotide unclassified non-coding RNA is filed under the name uncultured fungus. Its description in RNAcentral is "partial contains 5.8S ribosomal RNA, internal transcribed spacer 2, and large subunit ribosomal RNA". The stretch from base 1 to 52 matches the Rfam family "5.8S ribosomal RNA", at positions 103 to 154 of the family's 154-position model. RNAcentral also lists the same sequence under 1 other name. Lineage: Eukaryota; Fungi. The record is from RNAcentral.